UUCAUCUUUUCACAGUGUAUAAUUUACCUUUUCAUCAUUACAGGUUUCUGCAUUAUGGCUUUCAUUGGCUGAUAUAAGUAACAGCUAAUUUUAUGGCUCGGCUGCCACAGGCAACCCAGUAAUUAAUUAAGUAACUACCACAUUGCUCUUGAACAAUGAGUUGACCAGCUGUUUUAAUCUUGCAGUUAAGCCACCAGGUAACAUCCCUACCUCCAUUAAUGAGCUACCUAGUACUGGUCCUAAUGUCCCUGUAACUCCAGAUACAUCUGAUAAGGAAAGCCAGUGGAAAAUAUACCUAAUAAUUGCUGUAAUUAUGUUCUUGGUUGUGGUGGUUGUCUUGGUUGCUGUCAUUAUUAAGAAGCGUCAAGGAAAACCCCUGGAAACUGUUGACCAGCCUUUGACUGCAGACCAUGCAUUGGAUGUGGAGACUCUUGAUUCACCAUCAGACCUUAAUUGUGACACCAACAAUGAUGGUGAUCAAGAAGUGAAAAUGAAUCAAAGGGUGUGCACCAAAGAGCUUGCACCUUUCACUGGAUUGAAUGAGGAGAUGGCUAUGAGGCAGCUAAGUAGUGGAACUCUUGAUUCUCCUUUGGACCUUGAUCGUGACACCACCUGAGUUUAUGAGAAAUCGUUUUAUUCCACUCAAUUGGAUAUGGUCUAAAAGUGAACUAAAGACUUAACCACCACUGGCUAAGAUAGGAUAAUCACCAAGUUUAAUAGCUAAUUGCUGCAUACAUAGGCUCCUGCAAAUAAUUAAGGAUCUGGUUAUUUUUGUUGUUAUUUGUUGGUUUGGAAAGGAAAUUCUAUAUCCUUAUUCUUAUAACAUAACAACAGAACUCUGUGUUUUUGGUUCUUCAUUGUUCCAUUUGCAUCUAUUUUAUGCGCUGAAUUAAAUCAUGGUUUAGUUCUUUUCUG
Actinia tenebrosa (Australian red waratah sea anemone) is the source of this 915-nucleotide long non-coding RNA. The record is from RefSeq and is a predicted model, not a curated record. NCBI's taxonomy places the organism in Eukaryota, Metazoa, Cnidaria, Anthozoa, Actiniaria, Actiniidae.